GGAGGGUGCGAGCGUUAAUCGGAAUUACUGGGCGUAAAGCGUGCGUAGGCGGUUCGCUAAGUCAGAUGUGAAAGCCCCGGGCUUAACCUGGGAACGGCAUUUGAUACUGGUUGACUAGAGUUGAGUAGAGGAGAGUGGAAUUUCAGGUGUAGCGGUGAAAUGCGUAGAGAUCUGAAGGAACACCAGUGGCGAAGGCGACUCUCUGGACUCAAACUGACGCUGAGGUACGAAAGCGUGGGUAGCAAACAGGAUUAGAUACCCUGGUAGUCCACGCUGUAAACGAUGAGCACUAGGUGUAGCGGGUAUUGACCCCUGCUGUGCCGUAGCUAACGCAUUAAGUGCUCCGCCUGGGGAGUACGGCCGCAAGGCUA
This 371-nucleotide ribosomal RNA is filed under the name uncultured bacterium. RNAcentral's name for it is "bacterial SSU rRNA". It matches the Rfam family "Bacterial small subunit ribosomal RNA", at positions 527 to 896 of the family's 1533-position model. The record is from RNAcentral.